AAGCUCGUAGUGAAUUUCGAAUGUGGCUGGGCGGUCCGCCUCACGGUGUGUACUGUCUGGCUGUGUUCUCUUUCUUGGUGAGCCGGCAUGCCCUAUACUGGGUGUGUUGGGGAACCAGGACGUUUACCUUGAAAAAACUUAGAGUGUUCAAAGCAGGCCUACGCCCGAAUACAUUAGCAUGGCAUAAUAAAAUAGGACGUGCGGUUCUAUUUUGUUGGUUUCUAGAGCCGCAGUAAUGAUUAAUAGGGAUAGUUGGG
This 257-nucleotide ribosomal RNA is filed under the name uncultured Basidiomycota. RNAcentral describes it as "partial 18S ribosomal RNA". It matches the Rfam family "Eukaryotic small subunit ribosomal RNA", at positions 624 to 886 of the family's 1831-position model. The record is from RNAcentral. Lineage: Eukaryota; Fungi; Basidiomycota.